AUUAUUCUAUAGGAAUAUUGAUCGACGUGUUCUUAGUCAAGCUUUACGCGCGGGUUGAAUUUUGCUCACUAGGCUUCCUAGAUCAACUUUCACCUUACUCUAGCAAUCCUAGCUCAAUUAGGACGAAUUCAGGGUGAGAUGCAAGUGAUGACUUGAGUCUACAACUCCUAGGGCAAGUUCUCGCUAGCUAAACUAGAAAUAUGCAUUAAUGACAAUCCUAAUGAUGAAUUUCACAACUUAGCAAUCUAUAGUUGGGUCUAAUCCCUCAUAACCUAUUUAAACCCUAAACCUAACAAUAGAACUACUUAGACAUGGCUAAGCAAUUCAUAAUAGCAAUUAGGUAUAAAAACUGGAUAGACAAAUAGAUAGAUAUUAAUGGAGUUCCAAUCACAAAUCUCUUUGGAUCUUCUCCCCAACU
This 418-nucleotide long non-coding RNA is filed under the name Brassica napus (rape). RNAcentral describes it as "long non-coding RNA (BNAP_LNC012196)". Lineage: Eukaryota; Viridiplantae; Streptophyta; Magnoliopsida; Brassicales; Brassicaceae. The record is from RNAcentral.